CAUCGCCUGAAGCAAUAAAUUUUAGGUACCACCUGCCCAAUGAUUUUUAAUGGCCGCAGUAUCCUGACUGUGCAAAGGUAGCAUAAUCACUUGUCUUUUAAUUGGAGGCUAGUAUGAAUGGUAAGACGGGGUGGUAUCUUUCCCAUAGUUUAAAUUUAACUUAAUAAAAAAGUUAAAAAGCUUUUAUAAAUCCGCAGGACGAGAAGACCCCGUAGAGCUUUAUAAAUGUAACUUGGGACCUUUAGGUGUAACUUAAACUAGGAUAAAUUUUUAUUUGGUUGGGGCGACUUGAAGUUAAACAACACUUUUUUACGAAACUUGAAUUUAAGGUUAAUUGACCCGUAUGACGAAUAAAAAAUUAAGCUACCUUGGGGAUAACAGCGUAAUCUAAUUUUAGAGUCCUUAUCAAAACUUAGGGUUGCGACCUCGAUGUUGGAUUAAGAAUCGGUUUAAGUGUAGCAGCUUAACACCGGGGUCUGUUCGACCUUUAAAUUCUUACAUGAUCU
Molecule: ribosomal RNA, 506 nt
Filed under: Xyrodromeus africanus
Lineage: Eukaryota; Metazoa; Arthropoda; Insecta; Ephemeroptera; Baetidae
Description: partial 16S ribosomal RNA
Rfam family: Bacterial large subunit ribosomal RNA
Source: RNAcentral